AAGUAAAUCCGUAUCUAUGAAUCAAGUAUCUAUAAUCUUGUCUAUGGUGAUUCAAAUAGAUAAUAUACAACAUGAAAAUGACAUGGCAGGUAUUGCUGAGUGCACAAAUUCUGGAAUCAUAUGUCUUGGAGCUCUUUUAGCAAUUUACUUUCAUUACAGAACAUUGUCAUAGCCGAUUGAAUCAAGAAAAUUCAUUUUAUCCACUGGAAACAGACAAGGUGGUAUCAUAAAGGAACAUUACAAACACUCUGGAUGCUAUGUGUUACAGAGCAUUGGUUGUUUCAAUCCUCUCACUUCAGUAAAUAGCAGUAUGGAAAGUCCUAAAGCAAGCUUACAAAUCCCCCACAGAGGCAGUGUGGUGCUACAAGAAGGAUUUAUGUCAAUGAACUGGUACAUAUUUCGUUUUUUAUUGUAUAAACUGCUGAAUUACCAA
This is a long non-coding RNA of Agrilus planipennis (emerald ash borer), 433 nucleotides long. RefSeq lists it as uncharacterized. The record is from RefSeq and is a predicted model, not a curated record. The transcript is spliced from 4 exons. Lineage: Eukaryota; Metazoa; Arthropoda; Insecta; Coleoptera; Buprestidae.